Molecule: ribosomal RNA, 231 nt
Filed under: uncultured bacterium
Lineage: Bacteria
Description: partial 16S ribosomal RNA
Rfam family: Bacterial small subunit ribosomal RNA
Source: RNAcentral
CGGGACGGGUGAGUAAUGUCUGGGAAACUGCCUGAUGGAGGGGGAUAACUACUGGAAACGGUAGCUAAUACCGCAUAACGUCGCAAGACCAAAGAGGGGGACCUUCGGGCCUCUUGCCAUCGGAUGUGCCCAGAUGGGAUAGCUAGUAGGUGGGGUAACGGCUCACCUAGGCGACGAUCCCUAGCUGGUCUGAGAGGAUGCCAGCCACACUGGAACUGAGACACGGUCCAG